CCUACGGGGGGCAGCAGUGGGGAAUAUUGCACAAUGGGGGAAACCCUGAUGCAGCGACGCCGCGUGAGUGAAGAAGUAUUUCGGUAUGUAAAGCUCUAUCAGCAGGGAAGAAGAAAGACGGUACCUGACUAAGAAGCCCCGGCUAACUACGUGCCAGCAGCCGCGGUAAUACGUAGGGGGCAAGCGUUAUCCGGAUUUACUGGGUGUAAAGGGAGCGUAGACGGCUGUGCAAGUCUGAAGUGAAAGCCCAGGGCUCAACCCUGGGACUGCUUUGGAAACUGGGGUACUGGAGGGCUGGAGAGGAAAGUGGAAUUCCUGGUGUAGGGGUGAAAUGCGUAGAUAUUAGGAGGAACACCAGUGGCGAGGGCGACUUACUGGAACAUAACUGACGUUGAGGCUCGAAAGCGUGGGGAGCAAACAGGAUUAGAUACCCUAGUAGUC
This 441-nucleotide ribosomal RNA is filed under the name uncultured bacterium. RNAcentral's name for it is "partial 16S ribosomal RNA". It matches the Rfam family "Bacterial small subunit ribosomal RNA", at positions 338 to 795 of the family's 1533-position model. The record is from RNAcentral.